This 593-nucleotide ribosomal RNA is filed under the name uncultured bacterium. Its description in RNAcentral is "bacterial SSU rRNA". It matches the Rfam family "Bacterial small subunit ribosomal RNA", at positions 338 to 961 of the family's 1533-position model. The record is from RNAcentral.
CCUACGGGAGGCAGCAGUGGGGAAUAUUGGACAAUGGGCGAAAGCCUGAUCCAGCAAUGCUGCGUGAGUGAUGAAGGCCUUCGGGUCGUAAAGCUCUUUUACCAGGGAUGAUAAUGACAGUACCUGGAGAAUAAGCUCCGGCUAACUCCGUGCCAGCAGCCGCGGUAAUACGGAGGGAGCUAGCGUUGUUCGGAAUUACUGGGCGUAAAGAGUACGUAGGCGGUUAUUCAAGUCAGAGGUGAAAGCCCGGGGCUCAACCCCGGAACUGCCUUUGAAACUAGAUAACUAGAGUCUUGGAGAGGUUAGUGGAAUUCCGAGUGUAGAGGUGAAAUUCGUAGAUAUUCGGAAGAACACCAGUGGCGAAGGCGACUAACUGGACAAGUACUGACGCUGAGGUACGAAAGCGUGGGGAGCAAACAGGAUUAGAUACCCUGGUAGUCCACGCCGUAAACGAUGAUAACUAGUUGUUCGGUCACUUGGUGACUGAGUGACGCAGCUAACGCAUUAAGUUAUCCGCCUGGGGAGUACGGUCGCAAGAUUAAACCUCAAAUGAAUUGACGGCUGGAGAGUGCGACGACGACGACGAGGAGAGG